GACGAACGCUGGCGGCGUGCUUAACACAUGCCAGUCGAACGGAAAGGCCCUGCUUUUGUGGGGUGCUCGAGUGGCGAACGGGUGAGUAACACGUGAGUAACCUGCCCUUGACUUUGGGAUAACUUCAGGAAACUGGGGCUAAUACCGGAUAGGAGCUCCUGCUGCAUGGUGGGGGUUGGAAAGUUUCGGCGGUUGUGGAUGGACUCGCGGCUUAUCAGCUUGUUGGUGGGGUAGUGGCUUACCAAGGCUUUGACGGGUAGCCGGCCUGAGAGGGUGACCGGCCACAUUGGGACUGAGAUACGGCCCAGACUCCUACGGGAGGCAGCAGUGGGGAAUAUUGCAGAAUGGGCGGAAGCCUGAUGCAGCAACGCCGCGUGCGGGAUGACGGCCUUCGGGUUGUAAACCGCUUUCGCCUGUGACGAAGCGUGAGUGACGGUAAUGGGUAAAGAAGCACCGGCUAACUACGUG
This 468-nucleotide ribosomal RNA is filed under the name uncultured bacterium. Its description in RNAcentral is "partial 16S ribosomal RNA". It matches the Rfam family "Bacterial small subunit ribosomal RNA", at positions 28 to 507 of the family's 1533-position model. The record is from RNAcentral.